RNAcentral lists this ribosomal RNA (524 nucleotides) under uncultured bacterium. RNAcentral describes it as "partial 16S ribosomal RNA". It matches the Rfam family "Bacterial small subunit ribosomal RNA", at positions 28 to 523 of the family's 1533-position model. The record is from RNAcentral.
GACGAACGCUGGCGGCGUGCCUAAUACAUGCAAGUCGAACGAAGCUGUUUUAACUGGUGCUUGCACCGACUUAAACAACUUAGUGGCGAACGGGUGAGUAACACGUGGGUAACCUGCCCCAAAGCGGGGGAUAACAUUUGGAAACAGAUGCUAAUACCGCAUAACUACAGAAACCACAUGGUUUCUGUGUCAAAGAUGGUUUCGGCUAUCACUUUGGGAUGGACCCGCGGCGUAUUAGCUAGUUGGUAAGGUAAUGGCUUACCAAGGCGAUGAUACGUAGCCGAACUAGGAGGUUGAUCGGCCACAUUGGGACUGGGACACGGCCCAAACUCCUACGGGAGGCAGCAGUAGGGAAUCUUCCACAAUGGACGAAAGUCUGAUGGAGCAACGCCGCGUGAGUGAAGAAGGUUUUCGGAUCGUAAAACUCUGUUGUCAGAGAAGAACGUGUGCGAGAGUAACUGUUCGUGCAGUGACGGUAUCUGGCCAGAAAGCCACGGCUAACUACGUGCCAGCCGCCGCCGUAA